GUAUGUGCCUACAUCAUAGUGUUAAUGCACCAGAUCCCAUUAGAACUCCACAACAAGGGAGCUCAUGCUAGAGUAGUAUUGGGAUGGGUGAUCGCCCAAGAAGUCCUAGUGUUUUACAUGCC
Picea glauca (white spruce) is the source of this 122-nucleotide non-coding RNA. The record is from Rfam. NCBI's taxonomy places the organism in Eukaryota, Viridiplantae, Streptophyta, Pinopsida, Pinales, Pinaceae.